This 71-nucleotide non-coding RNA is filed under the name Schistosoma mansoni. Lineage: Eukaryota; Metazoa; Platyhelminthes; Trematoda; Strigeidida; Schistosomatidae. The record is from RNAcentral.
UCAAUAACUUCGACUGUAGCCCCUCUGGGGGCUACUGCCGGUCCCAAGCCCGGAUAAAGGAGGACGGUUGG